CCUGUCCAGCCCAUUUUAAACUUGGUCCGGCCGGGCGUCUGCCCUUUUCCGCCGCGGCGUGCUCCUGGUGCUGUGUGUUCUGCCCAGGGUGUUAGUGAACACAAGCCUGGUGCUUGAGAUGAGCCAGUGCAACUUCGAGAAGAAAAGGGAAAUGGCAGUGAAAUUACCUGACAGUGAGUAGAUCAGACGUUCCCGCCAGUUUGCUC
Molecule: long non-coding RNA, 206 nt
Organism: Microtus ochrogaster (prairie vole)
Lineage: Eukaryota; Metazoa; Chordata; Mammalia; Rodentia; Cricetidae
Source: RefSeq, a predicted model, not a curated record